CCUUUUUAUAAGGUUUUGAAUUUGACAAUUUAACAAUAAUACAUGGCUUAACUUGUGAUGCAUUUAGUAAGUUGAAAAAGUAUAGUUGGGCAAGCAAAAUGUUCAUUCGAGCUGUUUGGAUAGAAAAUACAGAGAAAUAAAGUGAGAAAAAUCGAUCGAUAAUUUUUAUGUGCUGGCUAUCAUCAUUAAAUGUAAUAAAUUGUUUCAAUGAAAUGCAUAAACCGCAUCUAACUAAUACAGAUUUACGCUGCUCAAAAUUAAAUGUCAUGGAGAUAAUGAGCCACUACCAUGCUUAUGCAAGAGAAAACAUAAUAACCAACAGAAUAGUAAGCAAGUACCUACUCCUGUAACGCAAAAAAAGAAACAGAAA
Long non-coding RNA from Hydra vulgaris (swiftwater hydra), 370 nucleotides. RefSeq lists it as uncharacterized. Lineage: Eukaryota; Metazoa; Cnidaria; Hydrozoa; Anthoathecata; Hydridae. The record is from RefSeq and is a predicted model, not a curated record.